GAUCAUCUUGAUCGGUUUAAACUCUUCUAUUAAACAUGCGAAUGUAUUGUCUUGAUAGAAUUCGAAUAAACUAGCAUGUUCAUAUCAAUGUUUGAGAUCACUUUCGACUCCUUAUUCAUUCUUUUAUCAAUUCUUCUAUUUUUCUGCCUGAGCAGAGUUUCAACACUUAGAAAAUUUUUGAAAAAAUUGCAUUCAAAACUUCAAUAAAAGUGAUGAUAAAGUCUAAUAGGCUUGAAUACAUACAUUAUUUAACAGCUAAACGAACCUUUAGACUUAAAAGAAAAAUAAUUGUUUUUUUCAUCAAGCAAAUUAGAACUCAUAAAUGUGCAUUCUUUUCUUAUUGUUUUAAAAAAAUAUAAUAAAAUAUUAAUUCUCAAAAAUAGAAAAUAUACAUCAUAAAGACUCAAAUAUACAAAAAUGUAAUUUGAUGCAAGAAAUCAAUAACAUUAUUUGAUUGUCAGAUUGUGACUAGGAAUCAUUCUUGUGAAGCAACUAAUUCAACAGUUUUUAAAAUAUUAAUUAUGUAAUCUAAAGAAAUUUAAUUUACAGGGAAAAAAAAAUUAGUUACGGGAAAAAAAAUUUUAUGUACGGGACAGAAAUUUUUGAGUACGGGAAACAGAAAUU
Molecule: unclassified non-coding RNA, 624 nt
Filed under: Paramecium tetraurelia
Lineage: Eukaryota; Ciliophora; Oligohymenophorea; Peniculida; Parameciidae
Description: partial miscellaneous RNA
Source: RNAcentral